UGAAAACUAGGACUCAGCCACUCCUUUGAUCUGUCUUCAUUUUUCCCUUUUCAGCUACCCUAUAGUUGGCUGCCUGGCUUCAGAGCUUUUUUUGAACUUGGAAGACUUCAAGCCCCAACUGAGGAAUCCUUGAUGCUCUGUUGUUUUGUCUUGCUAAAAUGUACAAGAAACUUGCACAGCUCUGUCCUUCAGGCUUAAAAUCAUCCCAGGGAGGUCACUCUAAGUUCCUUUUAAUGUGUGCUGAAGAAAGGGCAGCACAGCUGAAGCCUGAUUUAAAAUCUGAUCUUCUCCCUAAUGUCACAAGGACAUCCUGAGACAAUGGCUGAGGAGCUAUGCACCAGUACCCAGCUGGAUCCCUGAUACUUACAUUGGCAGAUGCAUUAUCAACAGAGACAUCGAUUUAGAGUGAAUUAAGUAAGCAAUUUCCAUUUUCAAGCCUACAAUUCCAUUUUAGCACCAGGAGAUAUUAACCGGUAUUGUUAUAGGUAAAAUCUGAUUGUGUUAAGGAGGGUGCCUGGACAAUCAGAGGGAGUCAGAAUAGGAAAUUAGAGUUUCGAGUUUUGUUCCCUUGUCUAGUAUGCUGGGUCACCUUGAGAAACUUCCAUCAUGACUGGGUCUCAGUUUCUAAAAAUCAAAUUUUACUUGCUGUGUUCCCGAAAGAGAAUUUUUGGAUAACUGACUUGCUAUGUAUAACUCUCUCAAGGUAAGUAUAUGCAAGGAAUUGCUGUAGGUGCAGGAUUUUGCAAAUUGCUGAAAUGAAAC
This is a long non-coding RNA of Pan paniscus (pygmy chimpanzee), 762 nucleotides long. NCBI's taxonomy places the organism in Eukaryota, Metazoa, Chordata, Mammalia, Primates, Hominidae. The record is from Ensembl.